UAGUGAAAACAGAUUUACAUUUUAUACACAAUCAUACUGCAGCUAAAAGUGGCUUUCUUUGCAGAACUUAGUCACAUAUUUUUUUUCCUCUCUCUGAAGUAAUAUUGAAUGGCAU
Non-coding RNA from Sarcophilus harrisii (Tasmanian devil), 115 nucleotides. Lineage: Eukaryota; Metazoa; Chordata; Mammalia; Dasyuromorphia; Dasyuridae. The record is from Rfam.